RNAcentral lists this ribosomal RNA (460 nucleotides) under uncultured bacterium. Its description in RNAcentral is "partial 16S ribosomal RNA". It matches the Rfam family "Bacterial small subunit ribosomal RNA", at positions 338 to 795 of the family's 1533-position model. The record is from RNAcentral.
CCUACGGGUGGCUGCAGUGAGGAAUAUUGGUCAAUGGGCGAGAGCCUGAACCAGCCAAGUAGCGUGAAGGAUGACUGCCCUACGGGUUGUAAACUUUUUUUAUAAAGGAAUAAAGUGCGGCACGUGUGCCUUUUUGUAUGUACUUUAUGAAUAAGGAUCGGCUAACGCCGUGCCAGCAGCCGCGGUAAUACGGAGGACCCGAGCGUUAUCCGGAUUUAGUGGGUUUAAAGGGAGCGUAGAUGGCUUGUUAAGUCAGUUGUGAAAGUUUGCGGCUCAACCGUAAAAUUGCAAUUGAUACUGGCAGCCUUGAGUACAGUUGAGGUAGGCGGAAUUCGUAGUGUAGCGGUGAAAUGCUUAGAUAUCACGAAGAACUCCGAUUGCGAAAGCAGCUUACUAAACUGCAACUGACAUUGAUGCUCGAAAGUGUGGGUAUCAAACAGGAUUAGAUACCCUAGUAGUC